Molecule: long non-coding RNA, 451 nt
Filed under: Gouania willdenowi (blunt-snouted clingfish)
Lineage: Eukaryota; Metazoa; Chordata; Actinopteri; Blenniiformes; Gobiesocidae
Description: lncRNA (ENSGWIG00000003396.1)
Source: RNAcentral
CGGCUACUCUGAUUGAACCAAUGUGAUUCAGCUGUGCAGGGAGUUAAUGGAGGUCAGAAAGGCAUCGUUUGAACACUAAAAAGUCUAGUUCACUAGUGUAAAACCCUCAUUAAGUGUGUGUCCUACUGAGCAGAGGUGAAACAUGUACGGACGGGCUCCCAGAGUCACAUUCCCCGCAGUCAGCGGGACACCGUCGGUGGUUGGACCGGGUUCUUAUGAAGUCAGCCACCGUUGCAUCAGAACAGCAGAUGGUUUUGCUCCAUUCUUGUCCCUGACCAACAGGAAGUCCAUAUUCACAAGCCCCGAUGAAACCAGACCAGGACCUGGACAUUAUGAGUUAUCACCCAUUAAGAUCACUCAACAAACUGGGUCACCAAAACACAAACGGUGGGACAAGCUGUUGCCAGUUGCAAUGUUUGGUCUGCAAACCAAAAAACAAAUAAUAUUCGAC